AUUUAUAUAGUUUAAAAAAACAUAGCAUUUUCACUGCUAAGUUGGAUUCACUUAUCCUAUAAA
This 63-nucleotide transfer RNA is filed under the name Dryocoetes autographus. RNAcentral's name for it is "tRNA-Glu". It matches the Rfam family "tRNA". Rfam says of the family: Transfer RNA (tRNA) molecules are approximately 80 nucleotides in length. Their secondary structure includes four short double-helical elements and three loops (D, anti-codon, and T loops). Further hydrogen bonds mediate the characteristic L-shaped molecular structure. tRNAs have two regions of fundamental functional importance: the anti-codon, which is responsible for specific mRNA codon recognition, and the 3' end, to which the tRNAs corresponding amino acid is attached (by aminoacyl-tRNA synthetases). tRNAs cope with the degeneracy of the genetic code in two manners: having more than one tRNA (with a specific anti-codon) for a particular amino acid; and 'wobble' base-pairing, i.e. permitting non-standard base-pairing at the 3rd anti-codon position. The record is from RNAcentral. Lineage: Eukaryota; Metazoa; Arthropoda; Insecta; Coleoptera; Curculionidae.